AGUGAACGCUGGCGGCAGGCCUAACACAUGCAAGUCGAACGGCGGCACAGUAAGAGCUUGCUCUUACGGGUGGCGAGUGGCGGACGGGUGAGGAAUACAUCGGAAUCUACUUUUUCGUGGGGGAUAACGUAGGGAAACUUACGCUAAUACCGCAUACGACCUACGGGUGAAAGCAGGGGAUCUUCGGACCUUGCGCGAUUGAAUGAGCCGAUGUCGGAUUAGCUAGUUGGCGGGGUAAAGGCCCACCAAGGCGACGAUCCGUAGCUGGUCUGAGAGGAUGAUCAGCCACACUGGAACUGAGACACGGUCCAGACUCCUACGGGAGGCAGCAGUGGGGAAUAUUGGACAAUGGGCGCAAGCCUGAUCCAGCCAUACCGCGUGGGUGAAGAAGGCCUUCGGGUUGUAAAGCCCUUUUGUUGGGAAAGAAAAGCAGCAGGUUAAUACCCCGCUGUUCUGACGGUACCCAAAGAAUAAGCACCGGCUAACUUCGUG
This 492-nucleotide ribosomal RNA is filed under the name uncultured bacterium. RNAcentral describes it as "partial 16S ribosomal RNA". It matches the Rfam family "Bacterial small subunit ribosomal RNA", at positions 29 to 507 of the family's 1533-position model. The record is from RNAcentral.